GAUGAACGCUGGCGGCGUGCCUAAUACAUGCAAGUCGAGCGAACGGACGAGAAGCUUGCUUCUCUGAUGUUAGCGGCGGACGGGUGGGUAACACGUGGAUAACCUACCUAUAAGACUGGGAUAACUUCGGGAAACCGGAGCUAAUACCGGAUAAUAUUUUGAACCGCAUGGUUCAAAAGUGAAAGACGGUCUUGCUGUCACUUAUAGAUGGAUCCGCGCUGCAUUAGCUAGUUGGUAAGGUAACGGCUUACCAAGGCAACGAUGCAUAGCCGACCUGAGAGGGUGAUCGGCCAAACUGGAACUGAGACACGGUCCAGACUCCUAAGGGAGGCAGCAGUAGGGAAACUUCCGCAAUGGGCGAAAGCCUGAAGGAGCAACGCCGCGUGAGUGAUGAAGGUAUUCGGAUCGUAAAACUCUGUUAUUAGGGAAGAACAUAUGUGUAAGUAACUGUGCACAUCUUGACGGUACCUAAUCAGAAAGCCACGGCUAACUACGUG
RNAcentral lists this ribosomal RNA (497 nucleotides) under uncultured bacterium. Its description in RNAcentral is "partial 16S ribosomal RNA". It matches the Rfam family "Bacterial small subunit ribosomal RNA", at positions 28 to 507 of the family's 1533-position model. The record is from RNAcentral.